GAUUUUUAAAAAUAUAUAUAUUUUAUUGAUUUUAGAGAAGGAAGGGAGAGAUAGAAACAUCAAUGAUGAGAGAGAUCAUGGAUUGGCUGCCUCCUGCAUGCCGCACACUGGGGAACGAGCCCGCAACGGGGCAUGUCCCCUGACUGGGAAGUGACCUGUGUCCUCCUAAUUCAUAGGUCAACAUCCACCCCUGAGUCAUGCUGCCGAGAUGCAGGCAGAUACUCAUGUUCUGCCAGUAGCAUGAGUUUCUUAGGCAACAUGUCUCCCCCUCCACCCAGGUGUGAAACACCCUGGAUGUU
Molecule: long non-coding RNA, 299 nt
Organism: Pipistrellus kuhlii (Kuhl's pipistrelle)
Lineage: Eukaryota; Metazoa; Chordata; Mammalia; Chiroptera; Vespertilionidae
Exons: 3
Source: RefSeq, a predicted model, not a curated record